Molecule: long non-coding RNA, 512 nt
Filed under: Malus domestica (apple)
Lineage: Eukaryota; Viridiplantae; Streptophyta; Magnoliopsida; Rosales; Rosaceae
Description: long non-coding RNA (MDOM_LNC005044)
Source: RNAcentral
GAAUUUGAAAAAUCAAACCGAUUCGAAAUUGGUUGGUUUGGUUUCUGUUUCAGUGGUUCAAAAAUUGAACCGGAUCAAAUCGAUUUAACCUUUAAAACGACGUCGCUUAACUCCAAAAUGAUGUCGUUUUUUUACCCUAUAACCCUAGUUGCUCGCCUGCUCCUCGCUUCUUCUUCCGUACUUCUUCGCUUUGUGUUGCUUUGCUGCAGCCCACCCGCAACACUUCUCUCUCUCUCUAUCUCUCUGUCUCUCUUCGACUCUUCAAGUAGAAUUUGAUCAUAUCUUUAAUUAGCACGAUGUUGCUGCAGAUUGGACCGUGAGUGGGAAAAUAAGAGCACAAGCGUAAUGCCUAACAGAGUCGAAGAAAGCCUAGGUCAUGGACGGAGUGAUAUCAUUGUGGCAGGGAAGCUGGCAAUUAGAAGUUCUAAUCCCUCAUUUCUCCAUGAUAGAGUUUUGAGUGAAGGUUUGUCCAACACCGGGGCAUUCCCCUUCUCAAUUGGGGCUUAUAAGGA